RNAcentral lists this long non-coding RNA (254 nucleotides) under Carica papaya (papaya). RNAcentral's name for it is "long non-coding RNA (CPAP_LNC002334)". Lineage: Eukaryota; Viridiplantae; Streptophyta; Magnoliopsida; Brassicales; Caricaceae. The record is from RNAcentral.
GAUAGGAUGUGCGCUAGGAAUUAGGUUGAUGGAGAACUCGACUUUCCAUCAAAGAGGCAAACUUGGUAGCUCUUCCAGAAAAACAUCCGAGAAGUCACAGAUAAAUGGGAUUGUCUGAAUUGAUGGCUCAGGACAUAUUCGCCUAUGCAUCACAAAGGUUUUAAAAAGACAAACAACAGUUUUAAAAUAAUUCUUUUCAUGUUGUUAUAACUUAUGUGAAAUUUUGUAAAAUUCAUUCAGAGAAAUAUUCAUUU